UCCGAGUUAACCCCGGCGGUCUCCCGUGAGUCCCCAACUGAAUGCUGGCAACACGGGAUAAGGGUUGCGCUCGUUGCGGGACUUAACCCAACAUCUCACGGCCCGAGCUGACGACAGCCAUGCAGCACCUGUGCGGGCUCCCGUAGGAGGACCGUGUUUCCACGGCUUCACCCCGCAUGUCAAGCCCUGGUAAGGUUCUUCGCGUUGCGUCGAAUUAAGCCACAUGCUCCGCCGCUUGUGCGGGCCCCCGUCAAUUCCUUUGAGUUUUAGCCCUGCGGCCGUACUCCCCAGGCGGGGCACUUAAUGCGUUAGCUACGGCACGGAACCCGUUGAUAAGGCCCCACACCUAGUGCCCAACGUUUACGGCGUGGACUAC
RNAcentral lists this unclassified non-coding RNA (376 nucleotides) under uncultured Actinomycetes bacterium. RNAcentral describes it as "uncultured actinobacterium contains 16S-23S intergenic spacer region". The record is from RNAcentral. Lineage: Bacteria; Bacillati; Actinomycetota; Actinomycetes.